RNAcentral lists this ribosomal RNA (604 nucleotides) under Cautires sp. UPOL VK0441. Its description in RNAcentral is "partial 16S ribosomal RNA". It matches the Rfam family "Bacterial large subunit ribosomal RNA", at positions 1816 to 2715 of the family's 2925-position model. The record is from RNAcentral. Lineage: Eukaryota; Metazoa; Arthropoda; Insecta; Coleoptera; Lycidae.
CAUGUCCUUUUGAUAAAAAUUUAAGGUCUAAUCUGCUCAAUGAUAUUUAAAUAGCCGCAGUAUUUUGACUGUGCAAAGGUAGCAUAAUAAUUAGUUUCUUAAUUAGAAGCUGGAAUGAAUGAUUGGACAAGAAAAUUUCUGUCUCUUUCUUAAUUUUAUUGAACUUUAUUUUUAAGUGAAAAAGCUUAAAUUUGUAUAAAAGACGAGAAGACCCUAUAGAGUUUAAUAGUUAAUUUUAAUAAAUACUUAGAAUAUUAAUUUAAAAUUAAUUAUUUAGUUGGGGUGACUAAAAGAUUUAAAAAAUUCUUUUAAAAAUUAAGUUGAAUAUUUUCAAUUUUCUAAUCUAUAGUUUAUAAAACUAAAAUAAAUUACCUUAGGGAUAACAGCGUAAUUUUUCUUAAAAGUUCUUAUUAAAAGAAAAGUUUGCGACCUCGAUGUUGGAUUAAAAUUAAUUUUUGGUGCAAUAACUUAAAAAUUAGGUCUGUUCGACCUUUAAAAUUUUACAUGAUCUGAGUUUAGACCGGUGUAAGCCAGGUCGGAUUCUAUCUUUAGAAAUUUAUUAUAUCUUAGUACGAAAGGACCAGUUAUAAGUUAAAUUAAUUGU